GAUGAACGCUGGCGGCGUGCCUAAUACAUGCAAGUCGAGCGAACAGAUGAGGAGCUUGCUCCUCUGACGUUAGCGGCGGACGGGUGAGUAACACGUGGAUAACCUACCUAUAAGACUGGGAUAACUUCGGGAAACCGGAGCUAAUACCGGAUAAUAUAUUGAACCGCAUGGUUCAAUAGUGAAAGACGGUUUUGCUGUCACUUAUAGAUGGAUCCGCGCCGCAUUAGCUAGUUAGUAAGGUAACGGCUUACCAAGGCGACGAUGCGUAGCCGACCUGAGAGGGUGAUCGGCCACACUGGAACUGAGACACGGUCCAGACUCCUACGGGAGGCAGCAGUAGAGAAUCUUCCGCAAUGGGCGAAAGCCUGACGGAGCAACGCCGCGUGAGUGAUGAAGGUCUUCGGAUCGUAAAACUCUGUUAUUAGGGAAGAACAAAUGUGUAAGUAACUAUGCACGUCUUGACGGUACCUAAUCAGAAAGCCACGGCUAACUACGUG
Molecule: ribosomal RNA, 497 nt
Filed under: uncultured bacterium
Lineage: Bacteria
Description: partial 16S ribosomal RNA
Rfam family: Bacterial small subunit ribosomal RNA
Source: RNAcentral